Molecule: unclassified non-coding RNA, 329 nt
Filed under: soil metagenome
Description: partial contains 5.8S ribosomal RNA, internal transcribed spacer 2, and large subunit ribosomal RNA
Rfam family: 5.8S ribosomal RNA (bases 1-120)
Source: RNAcentral
GAUGAAGAACGCAGCGAAAUGCGAUACGUAAUGUGAAUUGCAGAAUUCAGUGAAUCAUCGAGUCUUUGAACGCACAUUGCGCCCCCUGGUAUUCCGGGGGGCAUGCCUGUCCGAGCGUCAUUUCACCACUCAAGCCUGGCUUGGUGUUGGGCGACGUCCUCUUUGGGGACGCGCCUCGAAACGCUCGGCGGCGUGGCACCGGCUUUAAGCGUAGCAGAAUCUUUCGCUUUGGAAGUCGGGGCCCCGUCUGCCGGAAGACCUGCUCGCAAGGUUGACCUCGGAUCAGGCAGGGAUACCCGCUGAACUUAAGCAUAUCAAUAAGCGGAGGA